UACACAUGCAGUCGAGGGGCAGCACGGGUAGCAAUACUUGGUGGCGACCGGCGCAAGGGUGCGUAACGCGUGAGCAACAUGCCCGUAUCAGGGGAAUAAUCUAGGGAAACUUAGUCUAAUACCCCAUAGCAUUAUUAAUCGGCAUCGAUUUAUAAUUAAAGCUUUGGUGGAUACGGAUUGGCUCGCGUGACAUUAGUUAGAUGGUAAGGUAACGGCUUACCAUGACUAUGAUGUCUAGGGGUUCUGAGAGGAAGAUCCCCCACACUGGAACUGAGACACGGUCCAGACUCCUACGGGAGGCAGCAGUGAGGAAUAUUGGACAAUGGAUGGAAAUCUGAUCCAGCCAUGCCGCGUGCAGGAAGACGGUCCUAUGGAUUGUAAACUGCUUUUAUAUGGGAGCAAUAAGGUCUUUGCGAAGACUGAUGAGAGUACCAUAUGAAUAAGCAUCGGGCUAACUCCGUGCCAGCAGCCGCGGUAAUACGGAGGAUGCGAGCGUUAUCCGGAUUUAUUGUGUUUAAAGGGUGCGUGGCGGUUUGAUAAGUCAGUGUUG
Molecule: ribosomal RNA, 550 nt
Filed under: bacterium enrichment culture clone Ean14
Lineage: Bacteria
Description: bacterial SSU rRNA
Rfam family: Bacterial small subunit ribosomal RNA
Source: RNAcentral